RNAcentral lists this ribosomal RNA (341 nucleotides) under uncultured Streptococcus SS4. RNAcentral describes it as "bacterial SSU rRNA". It matches the Rfam family "Bacterial small subunit ribosomal RNA", at positions 24 to 355 of the family's 1533-position model. The record is from RNAcentral. Lineage: Bacteria; Bacillati; Bacillota; Bacilli; Lactobacillales; Streptococcaceae.
UCAGGACGAACGCUGGCGGCGUGCCUAAUACAUGCAAGUAGAACGCUGAAGCUUGGUGCUUGCUCCGAGCGGAUGAGUUGCGAACGGGUGAGUAACGCGUAGGUAACCUGCCUCUUAGCGGGGGAUAACUAUUGGAAACGAUAGCUAAUACCGCAUAAAAGUCGACAUUGCAUGAUGUUGACUUGAAAGGUGCAAUUGCAUCGCUAAGAGAUGGACCUGCGUUGUAUUAGCUAGUUGGUGGGGUAACGGCUCACCAAGGCGACGAUACAUAGCCGACCUGAGAGGGUGAUCGGCCACACUGGGACUGAGACACGGCCCAGACUCCUACGGGAGGCAGCAGU